CUAAAGGCUCUAUGUAGAGCCACACACUAUAAAAUUCACUGUUAA
This is a non-coding RNA of Sarcophilus harrisii (Tasmanian devil), 45 nucleotides long. Lineage: Eukaryota; Metazoa; Chordata; Mammalia; Dasyuromorphia; Dasyuridae. The record is from Rfam.